RNAcentral lists this ribosomal RNA (497 nucleotides) under uncultured bacterium. RNAcentral's name for it is "partial 16S ribosomal RNA". It matches the Rfam family "Bacterial small subunit ribosomal RNA", at positions 28 to 507 of the family's 1533-position model. The record is from RNAcentral.
GAUGAACGCUGGCGGCGUGCCUAAUACAUGCAAGUCGAGCGAACAGACGAGGAGCUUGCUCUUCUGAGGUUAGCGGCGGACGGGUGAGUAACACGUGGAUAACCUACCUAUAAGACUGGGAUAACUUCGGGAAACAGGAGCUAAUACCGGAUAAUAUGUUGAACCGCAUGGUUCAAGAGUGAAAGACGGUUUUGCUGUCACUUAUAGCUGGAUCCGCGCCGCAUUAGCUAGUUGGUAAGGUAACGGCUCACCAAGGCAACGAUGCGUAGCCGACCUGAGAGGGUGAUCGGCCACACUGGAACUGAGACACGGUCCAGACUCCUACGGGAGGCAGCAGUAGGGAAUCUUCCGCAAUGGGCGAAAGCUUGACGGAGCAACGCCGCGUGAGUGAUGAAGGUCUUCGGAUCGUAAAACCCUGUUAUUAGGGAAGAACAAAUGUGUAAGUAACUAUGCACGUCUUGACGGUACCUAAUCAGAAAGCCACGGCUAACUACGUG